This 253-nucleotide ribosomal RNA is filed under the name uncultured bacterium. RNAcentral describes it as "partial 16S ribosomal RNA". It matches the Rfam family "Bacterial small subunit ribosomal RNA", at positions 524 to 776 of the family's 1533-position model. The record is from RNAcentral.
UACGAAGGGGGCUAGCGUUGCUCGGAAUGACUGGGCGUAAAGGGCGCGUAGGCGGUGCAUUUGGUCAGGCGUGAAAUUCCUGGGCUUAACCUGGGAACUGCGUCUGAUACUGGACGGCUUGAGUAUGGGAGAGGGAUGUAGAAUUCCAGGUGUAGCGGUGAAAUGCGCAGAUAUCAGGAGGAACACCGAUGGCGAAGGCAGGUCUCUGGGCCACUACUGACGCUGAGAAGCGAAAGCGUGGGGAGCGAACAGG